UACGUAGGCAGCAAGCGUUGUUCGGAGUUACUGGGCGUAAAGGGUGUGUAGGCGGUUUUCUAAGUCUGGUGUGAAAUCUCCCGGCUCAACUGGGAGGGUGCGCCGAAAACUGGAAGGCUAGAGUGCGGGAUGGGAGAGUGGAAUUCCUGGUGUAGCGGUGAAACGCGUAGAUAUCAGGAGGAACACCUGUGGUGUAGACGGCUCUCUGGACCGCAACUGACGCUGAGACACGAAAGCGUGGGUAGCAAACAGG
RNAcentral lists this ribosomal RNA (253 nucleotides) under uncultured bacterium. Its description in RNAcentral is "partial 16S ribosomal RNA". It matches the Rfam family "Bacterial small subunit ribosomal RNA", at positions 524 to 776 of the family's 1533-position model. The record is from RNAcentral.